RNAcentral lists this ribosomal RNA (500 nucleotides) under uncultured bacterium. Its description in RNAcentral is "partial 16S ribosomal RNA". It matches the Rfam family "Bacterial small subunit ribosomal RNA", at positions 30 to 523 of the family's 1533-position model. The record is from RNAcentral.
AUUGAACGCUGGCGGCAUGCCUUACACAUGCAAGUCGAACGGCAGCACGGACUUCGGUCUGGUGGCGAGUGGCGAACGGGUGAGUAAUAUAUCGGAACAUACCUUGUAGUGGGGGAUAACUAUCCGAAAGGAUAGCUAAUACCGCAUACGCUCUAAGGAGGAAAGUGGGGGAUCGCAAGACCUCAUGCUAUAAGAGUGGCCGAUAUCUGAUUAGCUAGUUGGUGAGGUAAAGGCUCACCAAGGCGACGAUCAGUAGCUGGUCUGAGAGGACGACCAGCCACACUGGAACUGAGACACGGUCCAGACUCCUACGGGAGGCAGCAGUGGGGAAUUUUGGACAAUGGGGGCAACCCUGAUCCAGCAAUGCCGCGUGAGUGAAGAAGGCCUUCGGGUUGUAAAGCUCUUUUGUCAGGGAAGAAACGGUUGUGGCUAAUAUCCAUGGCUAAUGACGGUACCUGAAGAAUAAGCACCGGCUAACUACGUGCCAGCCGCCGCCGUAA